UACAGAGGGUGCAAGCGUUAAUCGGAAUUAUUGGGCGUAAAGCGUGCGUAGACGGUUGCGUAAGUCAGAUGUGAAAGCCCCGGGCUCAACCUGGGAAUUGCAUUUGAGACUGCGUAGCUAGGGUGCGGAAGAGGGAAGCGGAAUUUCCGGUGUAGCGGUGAAAUGCGUAGAUAUCGGAAGGAACACCAGUGGCGAAAGCGGCUUCCUGGUCCAGCACCGACGUUCAGGCACGAAAGCGUGGGGAGCAAACAGG
Molecule: ribosomal RNA, 253 nt
Filed under: uncultured bacterium
Lineage: Bacteria
Description: partial 16S ribosomal RNA
Rfam family: Bacterial small subunit ribosomal RNA
Source: RNAcentral